Molecule: ribosomal RNA, 563 nt
Filed under: uncultured Glomeromycotina
Lineage: Eukaryota; Fungi; Glomeromycota
Description: SSU rRNA
Rfam family: Eukaryotic small subunit ribosomal RNA
Source: RNAcentral
UUGGAGGGCAAGUCUGGUGCCAGCAGCCGCGGUAAUUCCAGCUCCAAUAGCGUAUAUUAAAGUUGUUGCAGUUAAAAAGCUCGUAGUUGAAUUUCGGGACUAAUAUGUCGGUCGUACUUUGUACGUACUAGCAUUAUUGGUUUCUCCCUUCUGACGAACCACGAUGUCAUUAAUUUGGUGUCAUGGGAAAUCAGGACUGUUACUUUGAAAAAAUUAGAGUGUUUAAAGCAAGCUCGCGCUUGAAUACAUUAGCAUGGAAUAAUGAAAUAGGACGUUUGAUUCUAUUUUGUUGGUUUCUAGGAUCGACGUAAUGAUUAAUAGGGAUAGUUGGGGGCAUUAGUAUUCAAUUGUCAGAGGUGAAAUUCUUGGAUUUAUUGAAGACUAACUACUGCGAAAGCAUUUGCCAAGGAUGUUUUCAUUAAUCAAGAACGAAAGUUAGGGGAUCGAAGACGAUCAGAUACCGUCGUAGUCUCAACCAUAAACUAUGCCGACUAGGGAUCGGAUGAUGUUAAUUUUUUAAUGACUCAUUCGGCGCCUUACGGGAAACCAAAGUGUUUGGGUUC